This is a non-coding RNA of Gasterosteus aculeatus aculeatus (three-spined stickleback), 295 nucleotides long. NCBI's taxonomy places the organism in Eukaryota, Metazoa, Chordata, Actinopteri, Perciformes, Gasterosteidae. The record is from RefSeq and is a predicted model, not a curated record.
UGUUCAUCUGUGGUCUCUGCAUUUCCACUUUUCUCUGCAUGUUUCACACCUUUCAAACUGUCUCUUGACACGAAGCGGAAGCGUUUCUCACAAGCGAGUGUCAGCGUGGACGUGAGGAUGGGACACACCUUGUUUGGUGCGUUGGGGCUUUUCUCGCUGAAUAUUCUCCUCUACUGUGGACACGCUCAAGAUGCUUUGCUGCAUAUUGAGCCAAACUAGUCACUUUUAUUUACUGGAGAGAAAUUUACCUUCAUAUGUGACUCAAGGGAAGGAAACGACACUGACUGGAAUUACU